RNAcentral lists this long non-coding RNA (3317 nucleotides) under Capra hircus (goat). RNAcentral describes it as "lncRNA (ENSCHIG00010002772.1)". The record is from RNAcentral. Lineage: Eukaryota; Metazoa; Chordata; Mammalia; Artiodactyla; Bovidae.
UAAGUGCAUCCCACACAUAUAUACACACACCCCACAUCUUUUCUAUCCACUCGUCUGUCAGUGGGUCUAGGUGGCUUCCAUGUCCUGGCUCUUGUGAACAGUGCUGCAGUGAACGUUGGGGUGCCUGUGUCCUUUUGAAUCGUGGUUUCUCAGGGUGUGUGCCCAGGAGUGGGAUUGCUGGGUUGUAUGGCAGUUCUACUUUCAGCUUUUUUAGGAACCUCCGUACUUCCCCACAGUGGCUGAAUCAACUUACAUUCCCACCAACAGAGCCCGGGAGUUAGUUCCCUUGUCCUUGCACCCUUUCCAGCACUUGUUUGUAGGCUGUUUCGGCGAUGGCCGUCCUGAGCUUGUGAGGCGCCUCACUGUAGUUCGGUUUGCAUUCCUCUGACAGCUAGUGGUGCUGGACAUCUUUUCAUGUGCCCCUGGGGCAUCUGUCUGUCUUCUUUGGGGAAAUGUCUGUUUACGUCUUGGGUCCAUUUUUUGAUUGGGCUGUUUACUGCAGGGAGAUCACCUGCUCAUUUUAGUGAUGGAGAAGCUGAAGCUGAGAAAUCUGCCCAAACCUCAGCAGUGAGAGGGAUGGGGCUGCCGCUGGAACGGGCCUCUCAGGUCCCACCCCUGUGUUCACCACCCCGUGAGCUGUCUGCUGUGAAGACGCACAUCCAGGAGCACACACAGAAGGACCUGCAAGCUCACAGAGAGCAUCCUGACCAGGCCCACCUGUGAAUGACUCUGGCGGCUGACCGGGACCAGGAAAUGUUUGACUUUACUCCCAUCCCUUUUACAUGAAGGAGGCCUGAUGGUUCUUUGGGGCAUGAGUCUACCAUCGUCUUGGUCUGCUGGCUUUCUGAAUAAAGUUACUAUUCCUUGCCCCAGUAACUCGUCUCUCGGUUUAUCGGUCUGCCGUGUGGUGGGCAGUGCUAGCUUGGACUUGGUGACACUUGGCGCUGGGGUGUGGACAGGGUUAGGAGGUGACUGUCCCUACCGCCCCACUCGAAUCCCUUGAAGGUAAGGACUGUGUCUUCCUGUUCCUUUGUGAGAGCCAAGAGGGAAGAGAACUCUAACCGAAUCUGGGGGGAGCUGAACGGCCCCGCGAGACUGUCUCUUCCNNNNNNNCCGCGCCGUGUUUUAGCUGGGAAGUCUGAGGCUCUGCGAGGGGUGACUCAUGCUUGAGUGAGCAGCAGGACAGCUGUCACUGGCCCUGAGCCGUGACCCUGGCCCCACAGCAUUGCCACUCGAGGGUUGCCUUUCCAGCUGCUCGCCACUCUCUUAUCUGAGCCGUGGCAUGGCUGGGCACUGGGAGGCGGGCCUGGACCCCAGGUCAGGGGACCAAAGUCCGUCCAGGUCACAGGGGGUGAACUGUGCCUCCCCAAAGCCUCCUCCAAAACAGACGUCAGCCCUGCCUGUGGGCUGGGGGUCUGACUUUCCCCUGACAGGUAAGGAUGGUGGCUAACCUCGAAUGGGACCCCCAGAGGAGGGCUGAGGUCUGGGGACUCCUGACCACUGGCCAGACAAGCUCUUUCCUCCAGACAACCUUGGUGGUCAUCUCCAAAGGAGGCCAGAAGGUCCCGAGGAUGGAUUCCAACCCAAUGGCAGAAGCUUUUCUUGGCUGCAUGGGAGUUGGGGAACCAGGGAGUAAAGGGAGGGGUCUGUCCAUCCGCUGAAUCAGGGGGCAUGCAAGUCACAGGGACAGUCCUGGCUGGACCACAUAUUAGUUGUGUGACGUUCGCAGGUCAGUUGAGAUUCCUGGGCCUCCGUUUCCUCAUGUGUAGGAUGGGGACGCGAGCACAUGCUCAUAGCAUCACGUGAGGGCCAAAUGAUUGCCUGUGUGAAUAAAGCGGAGGCAGGUAAGCGCCUGAUCCAUAACAACUACUCAGCAACGUGAGCUACAAUUAAUCACCAUUUUCUGCCUCAUCUUGAGCUACUGGCAUUGAGCUGGGUGAGAAGCUAAAUGUUAGGGUUAUGUCUGAAGUGACCUUUCCUCCCAGUUUAGGUUCUUCUGGAAGAGGUUCUUUCCCUUCCCUCUGAGGCCUGACCGCUGGAUCUCCAUCUCUCAUGGUUACCUAUGACACCAUCGCCUUCAUCUUCCCAGCUGGCAGAUGGAAACCGGUGGUGUUACUGUUCUUCCCAGGGAUGUUUACAUUUCAAGGCGGCGGGGUGGGGGGGUGUCCUUUAAAACCCUGACCAGCAAGGAUCAGGCUCUGUUGGCUUCAGAAGUCUUUGCAGUGCAAAAUAAUAUGAAUAACAACACCGACCAUUCAUCAGCCACCUACUGCGUGCCAGGCAUUGGUCUGAAUCCCUUACACGCCUUCCNNNCCUUAACUGUCCCAACAGAAGCCUGAGGUUGGGACUUGUAUUGUCACCCCAUUUUAUAGAUGGAGAAAGUGAGGUGCAGAGCCCAUUCGUAACUUGUCCAACUAUCACACGGUGAGUGGCAGAGAAGGGACGCAGACGCAGGCAACCUGACUCCAGAGCCCACUGCAGCCUCUGUUUAACCGAGCACGCGGUAUGCAGCAGGCCUGUGUUCCAGAAGCUUUAUACGCGUGACUGUCUCCAGUGUCUCUACCUGGCAGUAUGCUGGGUUUCUCUUCUAACCCUCACACGAGCCCUGUGGAGUGCAUUGCCCCCCAGUGUAAAGGUGAGACAGCGGAGACCUGGAGAGAGGGCUGCUUCUGUCGCCUCUACUGCUGUUGCGAGACUCCUUCAGAAGCUGCUUUGUCCUGACCCCAGUCCCCUGGGGAUGGUGGGAGUGUGAGGAGUGGGAGAGAAGGCAUUGGCGUCGGAGACAGAAUUUCAGAUUCCCACCUGCGUCGCUGCUAGCUUGACAACUCUGGGGACAUCCCAGAGCCUUGUAGAACCCGGCUAUUCUCGUGAGCACAGUGGUGGAAGUUGUGCCCAUCUCAAGGGCUGUUGUGAGCCUGAAAUAGGAGAUGCUCUGGGCAGAAGGCACAUAGUAGGUGCUCAAUAAAUUGCUUCAUUGCCCCUAAAGCGACAUGUUUUGCUCCGUGUCCUUAUAACACUCUGCCAGCUGCCUCUCUUGGUCCUGCUUACUAGAGGUAACUCGUGUCUAGUUCUUCAAGGACCUGGGGCUGCAAAGUUCUUGAAGUCAAAGUCCACAUCCCACGCAUCUUUAGAUCUCCCACUUGGCCCAGCGCUUUUUAUUUUACAUAAUAAUGGUGGGGUUUUUUCCCCUCAAAGUGAAAAUAGCUUUUCUAUUUCUCUCCUUUUAAAAGUGUGUGCUGUGCUAAGUCAUGUCCAGCUCUUUGUGACCCUAUUGCCUGUAGCCUGCCAGGCGCCUCUGUCCAUGGGAUUUUUCAGGC